AGUUGUUGCAGUUAAAAAGCUCGUAGUUGGAUUUCUGGGAGGGUGCUAAUGCCCGCCGUAGCGCGCGCGCAGCAGCGCCCUUCCAUCCUUCUGUUAACGCCUCUUGGCAUUCAUUUGCUGGUGGCGGGCUCAGAUAUUUUACCUUGAGAAAAUUAGAGUGUUUCAGGCAGGCUAGGCCGGAAUAUAUUAGCAUGGAAUAAUGGAAUAGGACUAUGGUCUCUUUGUUGGUUUGAGGGACUGCAGUAAUGAUUAAUAGGGAUAGUUGGGGGCAUUAGUAUUUAAUUGUCAGAGGUGGAAUUCUCAGAUUUGUUAAAGACUAACUCAUGCGAAAGCAUUUGCCAAGGAUGUUUUCAUUAAUCCGAACGAAAGUUAGGGGAUC
Molecule: ribosomal RNA, 379 nt
Filed under: uncultured marine eukaryote
Lineage: Eukaryota
Description: SSU rRNA
Rfam family: Eukaryotic small subunit ribosomal RNA
Source: RNAcentral